UCCCCUAGUAACUGCGAGUGAAGAGGGAAAAGCUCAAAUUUAAAAUCUGGCAGCUUCGCUGUCCGAGUUGUAAAUUAGAGAAGUGUUACCCGUGUUGGACCGUGUACAAGUCUCCUGGAACGGAGCGUCAUAGAGGGUGAGAAUCCCGUCUUUGACACGGACUACCAAUGCAUUGUGGUACACUCUCAAAGAGUCGUGUUGUUUGGGAAUGCAGCACUAAAUGGGUGGUAAAUUCCAUCUAAAGCUAAAUAUUGGCGAGAGACCGAUAGCGAACAAGUACCGUGAGGGAAAGAUGAAAAGAACUUUGGAAAGAGAGUUAAACAGUACGUGAAAUUGUUGAAAGGGAAACGCUUAAAGUCCAGUCGCGUUGGGUGGAAAUCAGUCUCGCUCUUUUGCUUGAUGUACUUUCUACUUGAUGGGUCAACAUCAGUUUUGACCGUUGGAUAAAGGUUGGGGGAAUGUGGCACCUUCGGGUGUGUUAUAGCCCUUGAUUGUAUACAACGGUUGGGACUGAGGCAUCACGCCGCARGGCGCUKGGAUGUUGACAUAAUGGCUUUAAUCGACCCGUCUUGAAACACGGACCAAGGAGUCUAACAUGCUUGCGAGUAUUUGGGUGGUAAACUCAUAUGCGCAAUGAAAGUGAAAGUUGAGAACUCGUUAGAGUGCAUCGACGCCCAUACCAGAUGUUUUACUGACGGCUAUGCGGUAGAGCAAGUAUGUUGGGACCCGAAAGAUGGUGAACUAUGCCUGAAUAGGGUGAAGCCAGAGGAAACUCUGGUGGAGGCUCGUAGCGAUNCUGACGUGCAAAUCGAUCGUCAAAUUUGGGUAUAGGGGCGAAAGA
Molecule: ribosomal RNA, 841 nt
Filed under: Cyptotrama asprata
Lineage: Eukaryota; Fungi; Basidiomycota; Agaricomycetes; Agaricales; Physalacriaceae
Description: LSU rRNA
Rfam family: Eukaryotic large subunit ribosomal RNA
Source: RNAcentral